UUAUACGAGAGUGUUGCAUCGAUUAGUUCGUAAAAGGGAUACUUGAUCAGCAAUAAUAAAAGUGUUAAAAAUAUCUUUUUUUAACACUUUUACUAUUGCUUACGAAGGUUCAUUUGUAACUCAAGUGUUUUAUAGUAAAUUAUCAAUUGUUUAUUUUGUGUGGCUAAUCAAUCAACACUAUUUUAAUGUGAAAUUAUAAUUGUUAGGAUUUAUUUGCUUUGGCGAUUAGGGCUUGUUAUUCGUAGGGAUUUAAACCUACAUGUCAAGUAAAGAGAACUAAUCUUACAACUAAUUUAGUUGCAUACUAAUUGACUAUGAGGAAAGCUUAUCGUAGCAAUUGGGGAUUGCAGCGAUUUUUAUCGAAUGUUGGGAAUAAUUUUAUUUGACAUAGCUUAUAACAUUUCGAUACCAAAUUUAAUUCUGAAUCCUUCGAAGCGUUUUUUUCUUGUUGAACAUCAACUCGAUCAGUUGCUGGAGGAGUGAUUACUGAUGAUGCGGGAGGAGAGGAUGGAACAAUGUAGCUACAACAAAACGACAACACAGAAAAGGAAAGGUGUAAAAGAUUGUGUAUUAGGCCACUUUCUGCAUAGUUUUAAGUUAUAUAUAUUGUUUAUUCGAAAGCAAGCUUAAUCUGUAAUCUGUAAAUCUGUAUUAGGACAUAAAAAAAAAUUCAACAUUAUGUAUUCCUACUGAAUGUACGAAAAUAGAAUGAUUUUGAUUUGA
Long non-coding RNA from Wyeomyia smithii (pitcher-plant mosquito), 723 nucleotides. RefSeq lists it as uncharacterized. The transcript is spliced from 3 exons. The record is from RefSeq and is a predicted model, not a curated record. Lineage: Eukaryota; Metazoa; Arthropoda; Insecta; Diptera; Culicidae.